Molecule: long non-coding RNA, 2326 nt
Organism: Monomorium pharaonis (pharaoh ant)
Lineage: Eukaryota; Metazoa; Arthropoda; Insecta; Hymenoptera; Formicidae
Exons: 2
Source: RefSeq, a predicted model, not a curated record
AUGAAAAUAAUCUACAUUAAAAAUUUGCGUAAAAUCGUUGACGUAUAUCGACGUGCAACGGAAAGGAGAGACAAGCAAUAUAAACUCGAUCAGUGCUGGAGAUGAUGGACGAGAGGAAAGCGAUUUGAAGCGAUACAAUUGCUAGAUGUGCGUGCGUGCAUUCAUCGUUACGACAAUUGCUCGGUUCAAAUUGAAUGACCUGAGCAAGUAGAACCGAUGAACAGCCGAUACUGCCGAGAGUUGGCGAUGGAUUAAUUUGCUAACCCAAUGACAAUAAAAAGCUGUAAACACUAACGCGUCGUCACGCUAACCCGGUUAACAAGACAUCUUCUAAUCGUGUCUCUUGAAUGACAAUGCGCAACUGUAUGUCGUUUGCAUAAUGUUGCUGCGUACAAACUGCGUCUCUCGUUCUUUCAAUCGCGCAAUGUAAAUUAAUUUAAUUUUGUUCCAGCAUCUUCAAUCAGAAGUACUUUUUUUUAUUUUAACAUGUAGGCACAAUUUCUAUAUGUAAAAAUCAUGUAUCACUUCAUUUCAUUCGUUUCAAUUCAUAAAGAUUUUUCUAGUUAUAAAUUUUAAUUUUGUUUGACCAUUUAAGGAUUUUUUAAAGCGGAAAUUAAAAAAAUUACUGUUUCGGCGACCUUUGCGAGCUUCAUAAUGCGAGUAAGCCGAACGAGUAAUAUGUAUGCACUAAAAUGCAUCGCAUGAAUCGACACAUACAAAUAGUGUCUAACAAAUGCAAUUAGCUCAAUUAAGUUCAUCGCGCUCGCGCUCUGUUUGUUCAAUUCGUGCACUGCCUUGCAAUUCGAAAUCGUUCGAUCGUGCUUAAGUUUUGAAUGCAAUUCGUACGUUCUAUUCGAAUGAUAAACGCACAUCGAAGAUGUAAAACACGCUCGAAGGUUUUACGCUAAUACUAGUUGUAUAAAGUACGCACACAUACGCACACGCAUACACAAUUAUUCAUGUGAACAUAAGUUUUUAAUAAUAUGAAAAAAAGUAUAUGUAUAAGUAAAAAACAUACAUAUAAGUAAAAAAAUAUACGAAAUAAAGGAAAACAAAAAAUUAAUCGACCUUGCGUAUAGUUCUUUUUUAACAUCUGCAAAUAUAGUAUUUUCCGCAUCUUUUUUAUAGAAAAUUUAAUAUUGACCGAUGACAAAUCGGUCUUGUAAAAGGCACUCGAUUAAACGUAUGAAUCUUGCGGUUGUCUUAGAAUACAUUAACCUGGGUGAACUUUAUUAUAAGGCACGCGAUUAUUCAAUAGCAAUCGGGAUCGUUUCAUAUGAUAGCCUGGCGCAAGUCAGCUAUAUAGAAUGUCGCAGACCUUUCACCUUUGGAUUCUUUGACUAAUUUGGAAUUUGGAAUUGACGCUUUCUCAACAACAAUAUCGAGAAAGAUCAUCGUAUGCCAUACAUAAUAAAAAUAAAUAUCUCUGUAAUUAAUCUGUAUAUUUUAUAUAUUUAUAUUAGAAUAGAAACGUUUUAAAAUUUAACGAAAAACACAUUUUCGCUAUAUGUUUGCAUUUUCAAAAUUUAGUUAGUAAAAAAUUCAUCUUUGAUUGAAUAUAACUUAAAAAAUUGAUUUUUCAAUUCCAAAUUUCCAUUAUGGUAAAAUCAACUUUAAAUUGAUUGGUAGGUGAAAGCUAUAAGAUACCUCAAUACAUUUGUACAUAGAUUGUUGAACAUUAAGCGCAAUCAAUUAAUCGUUGAUUAUGAUGUAACUGUAUGAUGCACGAGUUUCGCAAUUCGUCGUGAGCGUUGAAAAAGACCUCCUUGUAUAUCGACCUAACAUACAUCGUUUUCCCGUUGCUUAUGUACUCACCAUUUAUUGCAGUGGAACAUAGUACAUAUCUGUGAGAAAGGACUGGUGCAUGUCGCUAAUGCAACGUACAUAAUAGGAAGAUACUAAUUACUUGGACGUAAGGAAGCUUCUUUCGCGAAAAAUAUCUUCCUUUGUGUAUGUUAUUUGCCCGAUAUGUUCCGAUCGUAAUUUAUCUAUAUGUUUUAAAGCUUCAGUUUUUCCAAGAUCCUUAAUCGAAAAUGCAACAUUUUUUUUGUUCAGGACGCCACAAGCAAAAUUAUUUCGAAGAUUCACCACUAAGCAAAUUUGACUGACCAAAAAGGAUUUAAUCUAAUCUCUCGCUGUUAAAGAGAAGCAUUUCGCGAAUACAAGCAAAUGCCCUCGCACUUUAUUUAAUCGGAGCAUGUGAUGACACGGAAUCGAUCACUGAUUUUGAUAAAACUGCAGAAAGAAGCAUCUCUUUAUCUGUCUCUGACACCUCAAAACUGGAUAGCUAAAAUAAAUAGAUAAUAAAAUUCUGUAUAUUGGCAAA